RNAcentral lists this long non-coding RNA (7374 nucleotides) under Cucumis sativus (cucumber). RNAcentral describes it as "long non-coding RNA (CSAT_LNC003165)". The record is from RNAcentral. Lineage: Eukaryota; Viridiplantae; Streptophyta; Magnoliopsida; Cucurbitales; Cucurbitaceae.
UAGACUUAAUGUGGAAUGCAUAUUGUGAUUGUCAUGGAGUAUAUAUAUAUAUGUGUGUGGAUGUGGACAGGACGAAAACUGUAGAUUAUGCUUGUAUGAGAUGCAGAUGCGAUCUUGUGAUUGUCGUUUAGAUUGGGUGUCGUUACGCUAAAGUAUGACUGUGUGCUGGUGAUCUGAGGGGUGUAUUGACUGUAUAGUUUGAUUGACUGAUGUAUUAGUAUGUUAUUGACAGACAUAUGACCUAAGUGAGAUAAGUUGACUGUUAGGACGUUGAGAGAAAGAACUCUAUGUUUUGAAGUAUCUGAAGGAUGGGUUGAAUGGAAUGAGGGGAUAGAUUGUUAGGUUGUAUUGGGAUGAUUACCUUGUAGGUGUCCCACGGGAUCACCAAUUUAUUUUGCACCUUCGGGAGCAUUUGACUGAUAUGUGUUCUGCAGAACACUUGACUGAUAUGUGUUCUGCAGAACACUUGACUGAUAUGUACGUCCCUCGGGGCGUCAGACUGAUAUGUACGUCCUUCGGGGCGUUAGACUGAAAUGUGUAUCCUACGGGAUCACAAGACUGCGACUGUACAGGGUGUCCCAAUAGAACUUUAACAAUUUAUUUUCCCCUGACGAGACCAGUAGAGGGUCUCUUACUGAGUAUUGUUAUACUCACCCUUCUUAUGUUUAAUUUUCAGGCAAAGGUAAUAAAGGCGGCAAACCGGCGAGGGGCAGGAAGGAAGCGUGAUGCCAUAGGAAACGUGUAAUUGCUUCCGCUUAUUUAAGAUUGAUUUGAAAUUUAGUUUACAAACGUUUGUUGUAAACAGUAUUAUUUUAUACUUUCUUGAAUGUUUAAAAAUCAGGCCUGACUUGAAGAUGUUUUUUUUUUUUUUUUUUUUAAAUUGCUUAUGUUUUGUUUUAUAUUAAUCAGAGUCUUUUAUUUGUUAAAAACUAACGAUCUCGACUUACUUAGAAAAGUUGGGUCGUUACAGUUGGUAUCAGAGCCUAAGUUUUAGGUUCUGUAGACUGACUUACGAUGUAAGUCUAUGUUUUUGUGUUCCUAUGGCAAACGCGACCCUUCGUCUCUCGUCAGGUAUGCUUUAUGCUUAUAUGUAUGGUUUAUUUGCAUGACCUUGCCUAAAUUAAACUAGAUUGCAUGACGAUAAAGACUUGCUUAUGUUUAUGAUUAAGAUUUUGUUAAAGAGUGUUGUUGGUGGAUAAUAGGAAUUAUGCCGCCAAGGGAAGAAGUACGUAGAGGAGGUCGUAGAGGCCGAGGUAGAGGAGCAGGAGGCCGAGGUAGAGGAGCAGGUCGUAAUCAGCCUACUGAGGGUCAAGCUGAACAGCGAAUUCCUGCUGCACCCGUGACUCACGUUGAGUUUGAUGCACUGUCUGCUCACAUGGAGCAGAGGUUUACAGAACUUAUGACAGCCAUAGCUCAAAACCAGCAGGCACCUGCAGUCCCACCUGCACCUGUAGUUCCCCCUGCACCAGCAGCCCCUCCUGCACAAGAAUUACCUAACCAACUUUCUGCUGAGGCGAAACAUUUGAGGGACUUUCGGAAGUAUGACCCUCAGACGUUUGAUGGGUCACUGGAGGAUCCUACUAAAGCUGAAAUGUGGUUGUCCUCUGUGGAAACCAUAUUUAAUUACAUGAGAUGUCCUGAGGAGCACAGAGUUCAGUGUGCUGCUUUUCUACUGAGGGACAGAGGCAUUAUCUGGUGGAGGACUACCAUGCGCAUGCUAGGUGGAGAUGUGAGGCAGAUUACCUGGGAUCAGUUUAAGGACUGCUUCUAUACCAAGUUUUUCUCGGCUAACCUUAGAGACGCCAAAAGCCAGGAAUUCUUGGAGUUGAAGCAAGGAUAUAUGACAGUCGAGGAGUACGACCAGGAGUUUGAUAUGCUGUCACGUUUUGCCCCUGAGCUUGUUAGUAAUGAACAGGCUAGAGCUGAUAGGUUCGUCAAGGGAUUGAGAGAUGAAAUUAGGGGUUUUGUGCGAGCACUAAAGCCCACUACCCAAGCUGAAGCACUGCGUCUGGCAGUGGAUAUGAGUAUUGGGAAGGAUGAAAGACAGCCAAGGAGCUUUAAUAAGGGAUCGUCGUCGGGUCAAAAGAGAAAAGUAGAGCAGAGAACUGUAGGAGUUCCUCAGAGGAACAUGAGACCAGGUGAUUCUUUUCGCAGUUUCCAGCAGAGUUCUGGCGGUGCAGGAGACACUACUCAAGAGAGGCCAGUAUGUGAUACGUGUGGGAAACGCCACCUGGGUCGUUGUUUGAUGGGAACGAGAGUCUGUUAUAAGUGCAAGCAAGAGGGACACAUGGCUGAUAGGUGUCCCUUGAGAUCUACUGGGGCUGGAUCGAGCAGUCAGGGAGAGAGACCUCCACAGCGGGGUACAAUCUUUGCCACUAAUAGAUCAGAGGCAGAGAAGGCCGGCACAGUAGUGACAGGUACGUUACCAGUAUUGGGGCAUUUUGCCUUGACCUUGUUUGACUCGGGAUCUUCUCAUUCAUUUAUUUCAUCGCUUUUUGUGACGCAUGCAUGCUUAGAAGUGGAACCCUUAGACUAUGUUUUGUCAGUGUCUACACCGUCUGGAGAAAUUAUGUUGUCUAAGGAAAAGAUUAAAGCAUGUGAAAUUGAAAUAGCUGGUCGUGUACUGGACGUAACCUUGUUGGUAUUAGAUAUGCGUGACUUUGAUGUAAUUUUAGGUAUGGAUUGGCUAGCUACUAAUCAUGCUAGUAUUGAUUGUUCUCGUAAGGAAGUUGUGUUUAGUCCCCCUACUGCAUCUAGCUUUAAAUUCAAGGGAGUAGGAACAGUAGUACUGCCUAAAGUAAUCUCAGCUAUGAAAGCUAGUAAACUACUCAGCCAGGGUACUUGGAGUAUUUUGGCAAGUGUGGUGGAUACUAGGGAAGGUGAGACUUCUUUAACUUCAGAACCUGUGGUAAGAGAAUACCCAGAUGUAUUUCCAAAAGAUCUUCCAGGACUGCCGCCACAUAGAGAGGUUGAUUUUGUCAUUGAGUUGGAGCCAAACACUACUCCUAUUUCUAGAGCCCCUUAUAGGAUGGCUCCUGCUGAGUUGAAAGAACUGAAGGUACAGUUACAGGAAUUGCUUGACAAAGGCUUUAUUCGACCUAGUGUGUCACCUUGGGGUGCACCAGUAUUGUUUGUGAAGAAGAAGGAUGGGUCGAUGCGUCUUUGCAUUGACUAUAGAGAGUUGAAUAAAGUAACAGUCAAGAACAGGUAUCCUUUACCCAGAAUCGAUGAUUUGUUCGAUCAGUUACAGGGAGCCACGGUGUUCUCUAAGAUUGACUUACGGUCAGGUUAUCACCAGUUGAGGAUUAGAGACCGUGAUAUUCCUAAGACUGCCUUUCGUUCGAGGUAUGGACAUUAUGAAUUCAUAGUGAUGUCUUUUGGUUUGACUAAUGCACCUGCUGUAUUUAUGGAUUUGAUGAACAGGGUGUUUAAGGAUUUCUUGGACACUUUUGUGAUAGUCUUCAUUGAUGAUAUCUUGGUUUAUUCCAAGACUGAAGUCGAACAUGAGGAACAUUUACAUAAGGUAUUAGAGACUCUUCGAGCCAAUAAACUGUAUGCUAAGUUCUCGAAGUGCGAAUUUUGGUUGAAGCAGGUGGCUUUUCUUGGUCAUGUGGUUUCCAGUGAGGGAGUUUCAGUAGACCCUGCAAAGAUAGAAGCUGUUACCAGUUGGUCUCGACCCUCCACAGUUGGUGAGGUUCGUAGUUUUCUGGGUUUAGCAGGGUACUACCGGAGGUUUGUGGAGGAUUUUUCACGUUUGGCUACUCCUUUGACUCAGUUGACAAGGAAGGGAACUCCGUUUGUUUGGAGUCCAGCUUGUGAGGAUAGUUUUCAGAACCUUAAGCAAAGGUUAGUUACUGCACCGGUCCUUACUGUACCAGAUGGAUCUGGAAGUUUUGUGAUUUACAGUGAUGCUUCCAAGAAAGGACUGGGUUGUGUUUUGAUGCAGAAAGGUAAGGUGGUUGCUUAUGCCUCUCGUCAGUUGAAGAGUCACGAGCAGAACUACCCCACACAUGAUUUGGAGUUGGCAGCAGUGGUUUUUGCAUUGAAGAUAUGGAGACAUUACUUGUACGGUGAAAAGAUACAAAUCUUUACUGACCAUAAGAGCCUAAAGUACUUCUUCACUCAGAAGGAGUUGAAUAUGAGACAGCGAAGGUGGCUCGAGUUGGUAAAAGAUUAUGACUGUGAGAUAUUAUACCAUCCUGGUAAGGCGAAUGUGGUGGCUGAUGCUCUUAGUAGAAAAGCAUCACAUUCGGCAGCACUCAUUACUAGACAGGUACCAUUGCAUCGAGACUUGGAGAGAGCUGAGAUUGCAGUGUCUGUGGGGAGAGUCACCUCACAGCUAGCUCAAUUAACGGUGCAACCGACUCUGAGGCACAAGAUUGUUGAUGCUCAGAGUAAUGAUCCUUAUUUGAUGGAGAGACGUAGCCUUGUUGAAACAGGGCAGACUGAUGAGUUCUCCAUAUCCUCUGAUGGUGGGUUGAUGUUUGAGAGACGUUUAUGUGUGCCAGCGAACAGUACAGUUAAGAUUGACUUACUAGAUGAAGCCCAUAAUUCCCCAUUUUCCAUGCAUCCUGGUAGCACGAAAAUGUAUCAGGAUCUAAAACGAUUUUAUUGGUGGCGGAAUAUGAAGAGAGAAGUGGCGGAAUUUGUUAGUAAGUGUCUAGUAUGUCAGCAAGUUAAGGCACCUAGACAGAAACCAGCAGGUUUACUACAACCUUUAAGUGUGCCAGAGUGGAAGUGGGAGAAUGUGUCGAUGGAUUUUAUUUCAGGGCUGCCUAAGACCCUGAAGGGUUUCACAGUGAUUCUGGUUGUCAUAGACAGGCUUACAAAAUCGGCACAUUUUGUACCAGGAAAAUCCACUUAUACUGCUAGUAAGUGGGCAGAGUUGUAUUUAACUGAGAUUGUGAGACUGCAUGGAGUGCCUGUAUCGAUUGUUUCUGAUAGGGAUGCACGGUUUACUUCCAAGUUUUGGAAGGGACUUCAGACUGCUAUGGGUACGAGAUUGGAUUUCAGUACAGCCUUUCAUCCACAGACUGAUGGUCAAACUGAACGUUUGAACCAAGUUUUAGAGGAUAUGCUACGAGCUUGUGUUAUAGAGUUUCCAGGUAGUUGGGACUCUCAUCUACAUUUGAUGGAGUUUGCUUAUAACAACAGUUUCCAGGCUACCAUCGGUAUGGCACCAUUUGAGGCUUUAUAUGGCAAAUGUUGUAGAACCCCUGUUUGUUGGAGUGAGGUUGGUGAACAUAGAUUGAUGGGACCUGAAUUAGUUCGGUCUACUAAUGAGGCUAUUCAAAAGAUUAGAGCACGUAUGCAAACAGCGCAGAGUAGACAGAAGAGUUAUGCGGAUGUACGACGAAAAGACCUUAAGUUCGAUGUGGGAGAAAAGGUAUUCUUGAAGGUAGCACCUAUGAAGGGUGUUAUGCGUUUUGAGAAGAAAGGAAAGUUAAGUCCUCGUUUUGUUGGACCAUUUGAGAUCUUAGAGAGGGUUGGUGUUGUGGCGUAUCGCUUGGCAUUACCACCAUCUCUCUCUGCAGUUCAUAAUGUUUUUCAUGUUUCGAUGUUGAGGAAGUAUGUGGCCGAUACGUCUCAUGUAGUGGACUAUGAACCCUUGGAGAUUGAUGAGCAUUUGAGCUAUGUAGAACAACCUGUGGAGAUUCUGGCUAGAGAGGUAAAGAUGCUUCGUAAUAGAAGCAUUCCAUUAGUAAAGGUUUUGUGGCGGAAUCAUCGAAUUGAAGAGGCGACAUGGGAGCGAGAGGAAGAAAUGAGGACUCGUUAUCCAGAGUUAUUUCAGGAUUAGAACUUUCGAGGACGAAAGUUUCUUAAGGAGGGAAGAAUGUAAUGCCCCAAAGGUAUGUAUAUAUAUAUUUUUUUUUAAUUUUAUAUAUAUAUAUAUAUAUUUAUACUUAAUUUAAAUAAAAAGAAAAGAAAAAGAAAUUUAUCUCUCUCUCUCGCGCGCACACAACCCCUCUCUCAUUUUUCUUUUCUUCUCCUUCCGGUACCCUAGCAGCCGCCCACCCAUUUUCCCUAUUCUUCUUCCCGUCCUGCCGCAGCCAACCGCAGUCAGCCGCCCCAUCCGUUCGCACAGCAACUGCCGUCGGCCAUCUCCAUCUUCUCUUUUCCUCUCCGUUUCGUCCAAACCCAGCCGGACGUCGCUGCAACCGUCGGCCGCCAUCUCUGUUCGCGAAGCAAGGCCGCCGCGUGAACCUGUAACCGCCGGCUGUCUCCCCUCUCCUUUCUCCUCUGUUUUCAGCCCAGCCGCCGCCGAUUCCUUCUCCUCCGUCGUCUGCACUGCCGCGCGACUCUCCGGCCAUCUGUAUACGGUCUCUCCGUCGCACGUCAUCUCUUCGCAAAGCCACUGCUCGAUUUCUUUCGCGAAGAUUUGGGUAAGUUGCAAAAAGAUUCACAUUGGGUUGAAUUUAAAUGACUGAUGCGUUGAAGGGAAUUAUUGAGAAAUUGUCUUAAUGUUUAGGUUCGUUCUUCAUAGACUUCAACGUGGUUAAGGAGCUUAACAAAUUUGAAGGUAAGGGAUUUUCUACUGGACUCACUUAUGAUUGUGAAUUGCAUGUCUGAAUGAUUAUCUUUGACUGAGUAAAGAUGUUGAGAUGAUACUUAUGUUUAUACACGUAUGGGUGUAGAUUCGGUGCUGAAUGUACACUGUGGAUUGACUAAAAAUAUAUAUAUAUGCAUAGAAAUUGAAGUAGACUUAAUGUGGAAUGCAUAUUGUGAUUGUCAUGGAGUAUAUAUAUAUAUGUGUGUGGAUGUGGACAGGACGAAAAUUGUAGAUUAUGCUUGUAUGAGAUGCAGAUGCGAUCUUGUGAUUGUCGUUUAGAUUGGGUGUCGUUACGCUAAAGUAUGACUGUGUGCUGGUGAUCUGAGGGGUGUAUUGACUGUAUAGUUUGAUUGACUGAUGUAUUAGUAUGUUAUUGACAGACAUAUGACCUAAGUGAGAUAAGUUGACUGUUAGGACGUUGAGAGAAAGAACUCUAUGUUUUGAAGUAUCUGAAGGAUGGGUUGAAUGGAAUGAGGGGAUAGAUUGUUAGGUUGUAUUGGGAUGAUUACCUUGUAGGUGUCCCACGGGAUCACCAAUUUAUUUUGCACCUUCGGGAGCAUUUGACUGAUAUGUGUUCUGCAGAACACUUGACUGAUAUGUGUUCUGCAGAACACUUGACUGAUAUGUACGUCCCUCGGGGCGUCAGACUGAUAUGUACGUCCUUCGGGGCGUUAGACUGAAAUGUGUAUCCUACGGGAUCACAAGACUGCGACUGUACAGGGUGUCCCAAUAGAACUUUAACAAUUUAUUUUCCCCUGACGAGACCAGUAGAGGGUCUCUUACUGAGUAUUGUUAUACUCACCCUUCUUAUGUUUAAUUUUCAG